UACGUAGGUGGCGAGCGUUGUCCGGAAUUACUGGGUGUAAAGGGUGCGUAGGCGGGCUAUCAAGUCAGAUGUGAAAUACCGAGGCUCAACUUCGGGGCUGCAUUUGAAACUGAUAGUCUUGAGUGAGGUAGAGGCAAGCGGAAUUCCCAGUGUAGCGGUGAAAUGCGUAGAUAUUGGGAGGAACACCAGUGGCGAAGGCGGCUUGCUGGGCCUUAACUGACGCUGAGGCACGAAAGCAUGGGGAGCAAACAGGAUUAGAUACCCUGGUAGUCCAUGCCGUAAACGAUGGAUACUAGGUGUGGGAGGUAUUGACCCCUUCCGUGCCGGAGUUAACACAAUAAGUAUCCCACCUGGGGAGUACGGCCGCAAGGUUGAA
This 376-nucleotide ribosomal RNA is filed under the name uncultured bacterium. RNAcentral describes it as "bacterial SSU rRNA". It matches the Rfam family "Bacterial small subunit ribosomal RNA", at positions 524 to 898 of the family's 1533-position model. The record is from RNAcentral.